This 573-nucleotide ribosomal RNA is filed under the name Bacillus sp. 5IX/A01/145. Its description in RNAcentral is "bacterial SSU rRNA". It matches the Rfam family "Bacterial small subunit ribosomal RNA", at positions 733 to 1304 of the family's 1533-position model. Lineage: Bacteria; Bacillati; Bacillota; Bacilli; Caryophanales; Bacillaceae. The record is from RNAcentral.
UCUGUAACUGACGCUGAGGCGCGAAAGCGUGGGGAGCAAACACGAUUAGAUACCCUUGGUAGUCCACGCCGUAAACGAUGAGUGCUAAGUGUUAGAGGGUUUCCGCCCUUUAGUGCUGCAGCUAACGCAUUAAGCACUCCGCCUGGGGAGUACGGUCGCAAGACUGAAACUCAAAGGAAUUGACGGGGGCCCGCACAAGCGGUGGAGCAUGUGGUUUAAUUCGAAGCAACGCGAAGAACCUUACCAGGUCUUGACAUCCUCUGACAACUCUAGAGAUAGAGCGUUCCCCUUCGGGGGACAGAGUGACAGGUGGUGCAUGGUUGUCGUCAGCUCGUGUCGUGAGAUGUUGGGUUAAGUCCCGCAACGAGCGCAACCCUUGAUCUUAGUUGCCAGCAUUUAGUUGGGCACUCUAAGGUGACUGCCGGUGACAAACCGGAGGAAGGUGGGGAUGACGUCAAAUCAUCAUGCCCCUUAUGACCUGGGCUACGCACGUGCUACAAUGGAUGGUACGAAGGCUGCAAGACCGCGAGGUCAAGCCAAUCCCAUAAAACCAUUCUCAGUUCGGAUUGUAGG